This 253-nucleotide ribosomal RNA is filed under the name uncultured bacterium. RNAcentral's name for it is "partial 16S ribosomal RNA". It matches the Rfam family "Bacterial small subunit ribosomal RNA", at positions 524 to 776 of the family's 1533-position model. The record is from RNAcentral.
UACGGAGGGUGCAAGCGUUAUCCGGAUUUACUGGGUUUAAAGGGUGCGUAGGCGGGCUUUUAAGUCAGCGGUGAAAUCUCCGGGCUCAACCCGGAAAUUGCCGUUGAUACUAUUAGUCUUGAAUUAAGUUGAGGUGGGCGGAAUAUGUCAUGUAGCGGUGAAAUGCUUAGAUAUGACAUAGAACACCGAUUGCGAAGGCAGCUCGCUAAACUUAUAUUGACGCUGAGGAGCGAAAGUGUGGGGAGCGAACAGG